CCUACGGGUGGCAGCAGUGAGGAAUAUUGGUCAAUGGACGAGAGUCUGAACGAGCCAAGUAGCGUGAAGGAUGACUGCCCUAUGGGUUGUAAACUUCUUUUAUAUGGGAAUAAAACGUUCCACGUGUGGGAUUUUGUAUGUACCAUAUGAAUAAGGAUCGGCUAACUCCGUGCCAGCAGCCGCGGUAAUACGGAGGAUCCGAGCGUUAUCCGGAUUUAUUGGGUUUAAAGGGAGCGUAGGUGGAUUGUUAAGUCAGUUGUGAAAGUUUGCGGCUCAACCGUAAAAUUGCAGUUGAAACUGGCAGUCUUGAGUACAGUAGAGGUGGGCGGAAUUCGUGGUGUAGCGGUGAAAUGCUUAGAUAUCACGAAGAACUCCGAUUGCGAAGGCAGUUCACUGGACUGCAACUGACACUGAGGCUCGAAAGUGUGGGUAUCAAACAGGAUUAGAUACCCCAGUAGUC
RNAcentral lists this ribosomal RNA (460 nucleotides) under uncultured bacterium. Its description in RNAcentral is "partial 16S ribosomal RNA". It matches the Rfam family "Bacterial small subunit ribosomal RNA", at positions 338 to 795 of the family's 1533-position model. The record is from RNAcentral.